Dermacentor andersoni is the source of this 1768-nucleotide long non-coding RNA. RefSeq lists it as uncharacterized. The record is from RefSeq and is a predicted model, not a curated record. NCBI's taxonomy places the organism in Eukaryota, Metazoa, Arthropoda, Arachnida, Ixodida, Ixodidae.
UGCUUUGCUUCCUUCGUGCCAUGAGCGUGCCAGUUAUUCUGUGAUGAUUCUGUGUGCAGAUAAUCAACAGUGUGGCACCAGCGCUGUUUAGUCAGCAAGUGUGCCCCAAGGUAGCAUCCUUGGCCCGAUACUUUUCCUGUAUUACAUCAAUGAUAUUGUACAAAUAAGUGAUAUGUGUAAAUAUGUCGCAUAUGCAGAUGACUGCUCUGUUUUCUUUACAGGUAAAGAUUUAAAAGAAAUAACGCCUACAGCAGGCUCCGUUUGUUAUGGACUUUGAGCACGGUCUAAGGCAAACGGCCUCAUCCUCAAUGAAACCAAAACAAGAUGCGUUAUUUUUCAUGCUCCCGGAAGUUCUACUGCAUUGCCAGAUAAUAUUGUUUUCGGUCCGUAUAAAAUUACCAUUACAUCAUCCAUAAAAACCCUAGGCGUAAUAUUGACAGUGCAGAUGUCCUGGAAUGAACACGUUAGUCAUGUUUGCUCAAAGGUUCGAAAAGUUGUUGGUGUGUUAAAUCGAAAUCAAAGUGCACUACCUUUUAAAGUUAAGCGUCUCAUUUAUCAUGCUCUUUUCCAUUCACACCUCAGUUACUGUUCACUUAUAUGGGGUAACACUACAGCGCAAAAUAUUCAAAUGCUGGAAAUACUUCAAAAGAGAGCGAUUCGGGCGAUAGCGAACAUUUCUUUUUUCGAACAUAUGCAAUUAAGAGCUUUUCCAACAAAACGGAAUAAUCAGAGCUCAUGACAUAUAUAAAUUCAAAACAUUACUAAGCUAUAGAAAUGCUAUGCUCGGAAAACUCGAUUCAUUCCUAACCCUGGCAACUUUACAAAAAAAUAGAAGUACAUAUUCAUAUCGUCGCCAGGCACCAUGGCAGAUCCCUUCUCACGCACUAAUUAUAGGCUGUCAACGCCUUAAACAUACACUACCUUCCAUGCUUAACUAUUUCAACCAACAAAAUGUUGAUGUGUUAUCUCUAAACAAAACUAAAAUAUUGGAUUUGUUCUUAUAGAUGUGUAUUGUUAACUGCUCUAACUGUUCUGCAGAACUUAUGAUGUACUCUCGUUGUGUUUAUGCGUUCACACUUGUAACUAUGAUUCCUAGAAUCCAGGUUUUCCGCUGCAGUGAUUGUGCCCUGACUGCGUGGCAGGGUUUGCGUUGUGAACUCGAUGCUGCAGAGGGUGCCUUCGUGUUCCUAAAAUUCGAGGAUGUGAUGACGCCCUGGGCUACGUUGCUGAGGUGUCGUCGUGAAAGCAGCAGCCUAUAUGCAGAUUUUCUUUCUCUAUCUUUCUUUAAACAUAGAUGCACAUAUAUAUUUGCAAGUGUGUAAAGUAUUUUCUAAAAGAAGAACGUUUCCUGUUGGUAACUUGUGUUUAUUGUACACUUUUGUGAAAUUUGUUAUAUUUAUGUGUAUAUGUGUGUGUAUAUAUAUAUGUACAUACAUUGCUUUUGCAUUCUUAUGAUAUAUGCGAUUGAGUCUGUGUCAAUUAAUAAUAUGCAAGAUAACAGAUUGUAAUCGUAUGCUGGGAGUUAUUUUACACAACUGUGUUAUAACUCGUUUAUACGUAAUAACAUGAAAGCAUCUACAUGUACUUAUGCUUAAAAUACUCUUAUAUCCACACUUUAUGCCUGAUUGUAUUGAUGCACCAGCCGCUACCAUGCCUGUCUGGGAGACCGGAGGUUUGUCAAGCCGAAAAAAUUUCGGCUUUUUUUCUGGCUCUCCCUUUUUCACCUUGUAUCCAGUGGUGAAAAUAAAAAUCAUGAUGAUGAUGAUGA